This 254-nucleotide ribosomal RNA is filed under the name uncultured bacterium. RNAcentral's name for it is "partial 16S ribosomal RNA". It matches the Rfam family "Bacterial small subunit ribosomal RNA", at positions 524 to 776 of the family's 1533-position model. The record is from RNAcentral.
GACAGAGGUGCCAAGCGUUAGGCGGAAUCACUGGGCUUAAAGCGUGUGUAGGCGGACUGGUAAGUACCUUGUGAAAUCCCACGGCUCAACCGUGGAACUGCUCGGUAUACUGCUCGUCUUGAGCCACUUAGGGGCUGUCGGAACAAACGGUGGAGCGGUGAAAUGCGUAGAUAUCUGGAGGAAUACCGGUGGCGAAGGCGGCAUCCUGGACCGACAUUUGACGCUGAUGAGCGAAAGCUAGGGGAGCAAACGGG